UACAGAGGGUGCAAGCGUUGUUCGGAAUUAUUGGGCGUAAAGGGAGUGUAGGCGGUUGAGAAAGUCUUCUGUGAAAUCUACGGGCUCAGCCUGUAACGUGCAGAGGAAACUACUCGGCUUGAGUGUCGGAGAGGAUAGGGGAAUACCCGGUGUAGAGGUGAAAUUCGUAGAGAUCGGGUGGAACACCAGUGGCGAAGGCGCCUGUCUGGCUGACAACUGACGCUGAGACUCGAAAGCAUGGGGAGCAAACAGG
Molecule: ribosomal RNA, 253 nt
Filed under: uncultured bacterium
Lineage: Bacteria
Description: partial 16S ribosomal RNA
Rfam family: Bacterial small subunit ribosomal RNA
Source: RNAcentral